This 84-nucleotide transfer RNA is filed under the name Bacteriophage sp. Its description in RNAcentral is "tRNA-Leu". It matches the Rfam family "tRNA". Rfam says of the family: Transfer RNA (tRNA) molecules are approximately 80 nucleotides in length. Their secondary structure includes four short double-helical elements and three loops (D, anti-codon, and T loops). The record is from RNAcentral.
ACCCCUUUAUCCGAACAGGUAUAGGAGAUGGUCUUAAACACCAUUUGGCAUAAGCCAGUCUGGGUUCGAGUCCCAGAAGGGGUA